RNAcentral lists this ribosomal RNA (301 nucleotides) under uncultured bacterium. RNAcentral's name for it is "partial 16S ribosomal RNA". It matches the Rfam family "Bacterial small subunit ribosomal RNA", at positions 509 to 808 of the family's 1533-position model. The record is from RNAcentral.
CAGCCGCCGCGGUAAUACGUAGGUGGCAAGCGUUGUCCGGAAUUAUUGGGCGUAAAGGGCUCGCAGGCGGUUUCUUAAGUCUGAUGUGAAAGCCCCCGGCUCAACCGGGGAGGGUCAUUGGAAACUGGGAAACUUGAGUGCAGAAGAGGAGAGUGGAAUUCCACGUGUAGCGGUGAAAUGCGUAGAGAUGUGGAGGAACACCAGUGGCGAAGGCGACUCUCUGGUCUGUAACUGACGCUGAGGAGCAAAGCGUGGGGAGCGAACAGGAUUAGAUACCCCAGUAGUCCCUGUCUCUUAUACA